Molecule: small RNA, 606 nt
Filed under: Pongo abelii (Sumatran orangutan)
Lineage: Eukaryota; Metazoa; Chordata; Mammalia; Primates; Hominidae
Description: processed transcript
Source: RNAcentral
AGUUUUCCAGAAAAAGACCUUCUGCACUGUCCAUCUAAGGAUGCAAUUGAAGCUCAUUUUAUGUCAUGUAUGAAAGAAGCUGAUGCUUUAAAACAUAAAAGUCAAGUAAUCAAUGAAAUGCAGAAAAAAGAUCACAAGCAACUCUGGAUGGGAUUGCAAAAUGACAGAUUUGACCAGUUUUGGGCCAUCAAUCGGAAACUCAUGGAAUAUCCUGCAGAAGAAAAUGGAUUUCGUUAUAUCCCCUUUAGAAUAUAUCAGACAACGACUGAAAGACCUUUCAUUCAGAAGCUGUUUCGUCCUGUUGCUGCAGAUGGACAGUUGCACACACUAGGAGAUCUCCUCAAAGAAGUUUGUCCUUCUGCUGUUGAUCCUGAAGGUAAUACAAUCAGCAACAUUAAAACAUUUCUUUCAUUUUCUGUUACUGAAGUAAAAUAAGCAUUCCACAUUUAUAAACAACAGGUUAUUUCAGGAAGAUAUUUUCAUAUCUUAUAGCGAAAAGUCUUUUCAAACAGAAGCACUUAAUAUUUAAUAUAUUAUUUUGUAAAUUAUUGACUAACAAAAUGAUGACUCGACUCUCUGACAAAAUAAAAUACAGUUUUUAAAUCA